GUAAAUGCGUUUGAGAAAAAAGCAGUAGGCAAUUAAUUUUUUUAGAGACUCUGUGGUUGGUGUGAACAGAGAAAUUGGUUGUACGAAUUCAUUUUUCGAGCAGAAAAUGGGAGUUAAUAUUAACAAAAAUUUUCCGGUAGUCACCGUUAAUGAUUCUUAAGUGUGUCAUUUUUUAGUGACAAAUUAGGGUGGUACCGCGAAGCUUCGUCCCUGGA
RNAcentral lists this non-coding RNA (215 nucleotides) under Levilactobacillus brevis. RNAcentral's name for it is "Lactobacillus brevis T-box sequence". It matches the Rfam family "T-box leader". From Rfam's summary of the family: Uncharged tRNA acts as the effector for transcription antitermination of genes in the T-box leader family. The record is from RNAcentral. Lineage: Bacteria; Bacillati; Bacillota; Bacilli; Lactobacillales; Lactobacillaceae.